GUCGGGUGCAGUGGCGCACACCUGUAAUCCCAGCAGUCUGGGAGGCUGAGGCAGGAGGAUCUCAGUUCAAAGCCAGCCUCAGCAAAGGUGAGGUGCUAAGCAACUCAGUGAGACCCUGUCUCUA
RNAcentral lists this small RNA (124 nucleotides) under Marmota monax (woodchuck). The record is from RNAcentral. Lineage: Eukaryota; Metazoa; Chordata; Mammalia; Rodentia; Sciuridae.